This 695-nucleotide long non-coding RNA is filed under the name Arachis ipaensis. Its description in RNAcentral is "long non-coding RNA (AIPA_LNC002462)". Lineage: Eukaryota; Viridiplantae; Streptophyta; Magnoliopsida; Fabales; Fabaceae. The record is from RNAcentral.
AUUCAAAAUUUUCUUCAUUGCCAACACAGCCCAAGAACCCAGAAUCAAUAAUUCACACGAUGUCAAGUACUUAAGCAUCAUCAAACCUUUUCUUUUCUACACUAUGCCAAGCAUAAUUUUCCAUAUACACUCAUCAUCAUUCAAACACACAAUAACUCAUCAAUUCACACCAGCAAGCUCAGCAACAAAAGUAACACCAUUUAUUCUAUCCCUUACAACAUUCAGUAAGCACAAUCAUCAAAUCAAUCACCAACUACAGUUAUAAUUCAACUCAAUUCCAUCCAUAUCAGAGAAAACAAUAUCAAUUACAACUUCAAACACUCACAACAAAGCCCAAAGACAUUCGCAGCCUUAACCUGAAUUCAAUAAUCCAAUGGAAGCACUAACACAUCAUCAAACUCACUCCAAAUUUCACAACCUCAACCAUCAUCACAAUAAUCCCAAACCAAACACAAAUCUAACUCAGCUCAUCAAUUAUCAUUACGACAACUUUUCAAUAGUUAACUCAUCAAAUUUCAAUUUAACAAGUAUUAUCAAAUGAAUCACCAUUCACAGCCACAAUUAAUUCCAGUCACAGCUCAAAAUAUUCACAACAACUAACAAAUUUCAAAUGCAUUUUAGGUCGUUCAUGACAAUUAAGAAAUUCUAAACCAUUGUUAACCAUUUGCACUCAUUCAAAUAACUUGGUGGGCAUU